This 253-nucleotide ribosomal RNA is filed under the name uncultured bacterium. RNAcentral's name for it is "partial 16S ribosomal RNA". It matches the Rfam family "Bacterial small subunit ribosomal RNA", at positions 524 to 776 of the family's 1533-position model. The record is from RNAcentral.
GACGAACCGUGCAAACGUUGUUCGGAAUCACUGGGCUUAAAGGGCGCGUAGGCGGGUUCGCAAGUCUGUGGUGAAAGCCCCCAGCUUAACUGGGGAAGUGCCAUGGAUACUGCGAGUCUCGAGGAGGGUAGGGGCAUCUGGAACAGUAGGUGGAGCGGUGAAAUGCGUUGAUAUCUACUGGAACUCCGGUGGCGAAGGCGAGGUGCUGGACCCCUUCUGACGCUGAUGCGCGAAAGCCAGGGGAGCAAACGGG